UUGCUUCAGGAAGUGAACACGCCGAUAGAUCUCAUAUCUUCUUCUUUUUCAAUCGCCUUUUGAAACCCUAAACCCAUGGCCGUUUCUAGCUGCCCUACCGCUUUCCCACCAUUCGAGUGUCGUUCUGAUCCAGAUUUCUCUGGCCUUCCGCGCGCGUUCCACCAAAGCUCAUUUCUCUUCCAAACCCGGAGUCGCUUCCUUUACCGGAUCUUCCGCUAAUCGCCAUGGUCUUUCAUCUCUCAUCUUCAGGUGUCCUCCCAACAUUGUCAGGCAACUGAGCAUCAAAGCUCGUAGAAAUUGCAGCAACAUCGGUGUCGCACAAGUCGUUGCUGCUUCUUGGUCUACAUCCAUCUCCGCUCAAAUCUGUCGAUGCAACUUCUUCUACCGCCCCUGCUGCUGUAUUGACUGGCGGCGACGACGACGACGACGAGGUGAUUGCUGUUGAUAAUAGCAGUUUUACUACUAACCCUACUGAUGUACAGGUUCAGGAUCUGACUGUGAAAGACUAGGUCGCGGCAUUGUUACUGAUGCAAUAACCACUCCUGUAGUCAAUACAUCUGCCUACUUCUUUUUCAAGAAAACUUCUGACCUCAUUAAUUUCAAGGGAGAAGCGCAGUAAAAGUUUUGAAUAUGGGCGUUACGGAAAACACCCAACUACUGUGGUUGUAGAAGAGAAAUUGAGGUUAGUAGCCAUUCCUUCUAGUUUCGAUAAAUUCGAUCACACACACACAUGGUCAAAUGCAUGAUGAGCUCUGUUAUGUUCAUUCGAUCUAUGCUCUCUGUUUUACCUUGCUUUUCUGUUCAGUUAUGUUCUUCUUCAAUGUGAUACUCGUGUGAUGAUGAUUAAGGCAUCGGUUUUGU
This is a long non-coding RNA of Impatiens glandulifera, 861 nucleotides long. RefSeq lists it as uncharacterized. The transcript has 3 exons. The record is from RefSeq and is a predicted model, not a curated record. NCBI's taxonomy places the organism in Eukaryota, Viridiplantae, Streptophyta, Magnoliopsida, Ericales, Balsaminaceae.